CCUGGCCCCCCCGUCGGAGGCCCCGCCGAAGCACGAGCCUUCUGAUGACAUGCUGGCAG
This 59-nucleotide transfer RNA is filed under the name Alexandrium tamarense. Its description in RNAcentral is "partial Selenocysteine transfer RNA". The record is from RNAcentral. Lineage: Eukaryota; Dinophyceae; Gonyaulacales; Pyrocystaceae.